RNAcentral lists this small RNA (510 nucleotides) under Pan troglodytes (chimpanzee). RNAcentral's name for it is "retained intron". Lineage: Eukaryota; Metazoa; Chordata; Mammalia; Primates; Hominidae. The record is from RNAcentral.
AAGUGCUUCAUGUUGCUGAACUGGGAAUGAUAGGGAAAAAGGCAGGCUCGGGGCACAAGAUAAUGAGUCAGGGUGUAGUCCUGUUGACGCUCUCCCCACCAUCUGGUGGCCGUUCCUCUCCCAGCCACCUCCUCGUCCCUCAUGGUAUUCCCGUGUUCCUGCAGCCCCUCUCCAUCUCCUUGUCACCCCUUCCUCCUGUACUCGUCCAGGCCUCCUCUAGCCCGUGGAAUCCAACCCCGGCUCCUGUCAGCAGCCCUCCCCUGCUGCUCCCCAUCCCUGCCAUCGUCUUCAUCGCUGUGGGCAUCUAUUUGUUGCUGCUGGGUCUAGUCCUGCUGACUAGGAACUGCCUGCUGGCCCAGGGCUGCUGCGCGGACGGUAGCUCCCCCUGCAGGAAGCAAGGUUCCUCCGGGCCCCCAGACUGCUGCUGGACCUGUGCAGAAGCCUGCAACUUUCCUCUGCCUAGCCCGGCCCACUUCCUGGAUGCCUGCUGCCCCCAGCCCACCAGAGCUG